Ciona savignyi (Pacific transparent sea squirt) is the source of this 73-nucleotide non-coding RNA. The record is from Rfam. NCBI's taxonomy places the organism in Eukaryota, Metazoa, Chordata, Ascidiacea, Phlebobranchia, Cionidae.
GCCCGGUUAGCUCAGCCGGUAGAGUGUUAGACUUUUAAUCCAACGAUCAAGGGUUCAAGUCCCUUAUCGAGCU